This 559-nucleotide ribosomal RNA is filed under the name uncultured bacterium. Its description in RNAcentral is "bacterial SSU rRNA". It matches the Rfam family "Bacterial small subunit ribosomal RNA", at positions 913 to 1482 of the family's 1533-position model. The record is from RNAcentral.
ACGGGGGCCCGCACAAGCGGAGGAACAUGUGGUUUAAUUCGAUGAUACGCGAGGAACCUUACCCGGGCUUGAAAGUUAGUGACGAGAGUGGAAACACUUUUUCCCUUCGGGGCACGAAACUAGGUGCUGCAUGGUUGUCGUCAGCUCGUGCCGUGAGGUGUCGGGUUAAGUCCCAUAACGAGCGCAACCCCUAUCGAUAGUUACCAGCGAGUAGAGUCGGGGACUCUAUCGAGACUGCCGGUGUAAACCGUGAGGAAGGUGGGGAUGACGUCAAAUCAGCACGGCCCUUACGUCCGGGGCGACACACGUGUUACAAUGGAUGGUACAGAGGGUAGCUACCUAGUGAUAGGAUGCCAAUCUCAAAAGCCAUUCUCAGUUCGGAUUGGAGGCUGGAACUCGCCUCCAUGAAGUUGGAUUCGCUAGUAAUCGCAUAUCAGCCAUGAUGCGGUGAAUACGUUCCCGGGCCUUGUACACACCGCCCGUCAAGCCAUGGAAGUUUGGGGUGCCUGAAGUGCGUGACCGCAAGGAGCGUCCUAGGGCAAAACAGAUAACUGGGGCU